UACGUAGGGUGCGAGCGUUGUCCGGAAUUAUUGGGCGUAAAGGGCUCGUAGGCGGUUUGUCGCGUCGGGAGUGAAAUCCACUGGCUUAACUGGUGGCUUGCUUUCGAUACGGGCAGACUGGAGGUAUGCAGGGGAGAACGGAAUUCCUGGUGUAGCGGUGAAAUGCGCAGAUAUCAGGAGGAACACCGGUGGCGAAGGCAGCUCGCUGGGACGGUAUUGACGCUGAGACGCGAAAGCGUGGGGAGCGAACAGG
This 253-nucleotide ribosomal RNA is filed under the name uncultured bacterium. RNAcentral describes it as "partial 16S ribosomal RNA". It matches the Rfam family "Bacterial small subunit ribosomal RNA", at positions 524 to 776 of the family's 1533-position model. The record is from RNAcentral.